UUUUGUCUAGUUUAAGAAAAAUAUUGGCUUGUCAAGCCAGCGUUGUAAAAAGUUUACGACGAAGU
RNAcentral lists this transfer RNA (65 nucleotides) under Auriculastra duplicata. RNAcentral's name for it is "tRNA-Asp". Lineage: Eukaryota; Metazoa; Mollusca; Gastropoda; Ellobiida; Ellobiidae. The record is from RNAcentral.